Molecule: ribosomal RNA, 458 nt
Filed under: uncultured bacterium
Lineage: Bacteria
Description: partial 16S ribosomal RNA
Rfam family: Bacterial small subunit ribosomal RNA
Source: RNAcentral
CCUACGGGUGACAGCAGUGAGGAAUAUUGGUCAAUGGGCGAGAGCCUGAACCAGCCAAGUCGCGUGAGGGAGUACUUCCCUAUGGGUUGUAAACCUCUUUUGUCGGGGAGCAAAAGCCGGACGUGUCCGGCUGUGAGAGUACCCGAAGAAAAAGCAUCGGCUAACUCCGUGCCAGCAGCCGCGAUAAUAAGGGGGAUGCGAGCGUUAUCCGGAUUUACUGGUUUAAAAGGGUGGUCAGGCGGAUUUUUAAGUCAGCGGUCAACUGGUGGGGCUCAACCCCAUCCAGCCGUUGAAACUGGGGAUCUAGAGUGUGCGAGAGGUAUGCGGAAUGCGUGGUGUAGCGGUGAAAUGCAGAGAUAUCACGCAGAACCCCGAUUGCGAAGGCAGCAUACCGGUGCACAACUGACGCGCGGGCACGAAAGCGUGGGUAUCGAACAGGAUUAGAUACCCCUGUAGUC